AUGAAGUUUAAAACAGUUUUCGAACUUUUACUUAUUUUAUAUAUUGUCUUAUGUCAUUGUGUUUUUCUUAUAUGGUCAUAUUUAUCUUAUUUUUAUUUAUUUUAUCCUUUCUUGUAUUUUAUCCUUUCUUGUAUUUUAUCCUUUCUUGUAUUUUAUCUUUUUUUGUAUUUUAUCCCUUCUUGUAUUUUAUCCUUUCUUGUAUUUUAUCCUUUCUUGUAUUUUAUCCUUUCUUGUAUUUUAUCUUUUUUUGUAUUUUAUCCCUUCUUUUAUUUAGUUUUUUGCAGCCUAACGUGUUGGAAUUUGAACAAAAGCCUGGAUAACUCUAUAAUCUGCCCUACAAUUUCAGGCUUUAUAGCUUCAUCGUUAAAUAAGAUGAUUUUUAAGGAACAUAAAAAACCUCUAAUCCCUAUUUGGUUAGGUUGUAUAUUAAGUUAUAUUAUUUUCCUUUGAAAAAAAGACGAAUUGGGACAUUAUUUUUUUUUUUUACAUUUUUUAAAGUAAUCAAAAAAAGAUAUUUCCGACAAAUAAAAAAAAAAAAAACAAUAAACUGGCA
RNAcentral lists this long non-coding RNA (553 nucleotides) under Piliocolobus tephrosceles (Ugandan red Colobus). Its description in RNAcentral is "lncRNA (ENSPTEG00000004523.1)". The record is from RNAcentral. Lineage: Eukaryota; Metazoa; Chordata; Mammalia; Primates; Cercopithecidae.